Non-coding RNA from Oncorhynchus mykiss (rainbow trout), 775 nucleotides. The record is from RefSeq and is a predicted model, not a curated record. NCBI's taxonomy places the organism in Eukaryota, Metazoa, Chordata, Actinopteri, Salmoniformes, Salmonidae.
AACAUAUGUGUGUGAAAACAAGAGAGUGAAAGAGAGAGAGAGAGUGCCAGGUGUGACUAGUUGUAACAGGUAUGACUAGUUGUAACAGGUGUAACUAGUUGUAACAGGUGUGACUAGUUGUAACAGGUGUGACUAGUUGUAACAGGUGACUAGUUGUAACAGGUGUGACUAGUUGUAACAGGUGUGACUCGUUGUAACAGGUGACUAGUUGUAACAGGUGACUAGUUGUAACAGGUGUGACUAGUUGUAACAGGUGACUAGUUGUAACAGGUGACUAGUUGUAACAGGUGUGACUAGUUGUAACAGGUGACUCGUUGUAACAGCUGACUAGUUGUAACAGGUGACUAGUUGUAACAGGUGUGACUAGUUGUAACAGGUGACUAGUUGUAACAGGUGUGACUAGUUGUAACAGGUGACUAGUUGUAACAGCUGACUAGUUGUAACAGGUGUGACUCGUUGUAACAGGUGACUAGUUGUAACAGGUGACUAAUUGUAACAGGUGUGACUAGUUGUAACAGGUGACUAGUUGUAACAGGUGUGACUAGUUGUAACAGGUGACUAGUUGUAACAGCUGACUAGUUGUAACAGGUGUGACUAGUUGUAACAGGUGACUAGUUGUAACAGGUGACUAGUUGAUAAGCCAGAUGGUUGGGUGUGUGACUAGUUGUAACAGGUGACUAGUUGUAACAGGUGACUAGUUGUAACAGGUGACUAGUUGUAACAGCUGACUAGUUGUAACAGGUGUGACUAGUUGUAACAGGUGACUAGUUGAUAA